AUUAAAAAAGUUUGGGAUUUCCAAUUUCAUUUUUUUUCUGAAGUUGCUUUUUUGAGCGGCGGGUUUGUUAAAGCUGCACUCUCACAGAUAUACCAUUUUUACAGCUUUUUUUAUUUUUUGUCUUGGAAAGGCCAAAUUUGUGCAUAACUGUCUGCAAACUAGUGAUUUAAGAUUGCUGACAAAAAAUCAGAUGGUGGAUUUUCAUAUUUACGUUCGAAAUUAAUGUUUUAUGGCCUAAACCAUUACUAACUGUUUAAGAAAAAUGCACAAAACAUCAUUUUUUUUUUCUUAAAUGUAAAAAUCUGCGAUCUUUUUUUUGUCAGCAGUCUUAUAUAAAUGGUUUCCAUGGAUUUUCGCAACAAUUGGUUGGUUCCAAGACAAAAAAUAAAAAUGUUGUCAAAACGUUCAAUCUGUGAGAGUGCAGCUUUAAAUGAACAAUAAAAAACAGUAACCAAAUUAAUAACAUUACUUUUAAAAUCAAUAAAAUGUCUGCUGAAAGUGAGUCUAAGUAUGGUUUUUUAGAUAAAUAAUAGAAUAUAAUUUUAUCUAUGUUGUUUAUUUUUGGUAAUGAUAUUUCAUGUUUUCUAAGACCCUGCCCUCAUUUGCCUGUCGUUAUACACUGUGUUUCCUGGGAAUGCUGUAUCUAAAAGGGAGAUGUUUCUCAACUGCAUUAUUACUGAAUUAUGUGAUGUGUUUGUUUAUUUCAGGCAACUCUGAUGUUCACAAUGGUCCAGCUCAUUAUUAUGAGGACAUUGCCCCAAUUUCCAACAUUGGCAUCUCUGAUGUUCACAAUGGUCCAGCCCAUUAUUAUGAGGACAUUGCCUCGAGUUCCAACAUUGGAGUUAAGCACCAUCCAAGGAAGUGAAAAAGAACACCUUGAAGCCAAACCCCCCUGUGGAAACUGGUAUACAGAAGUGCUUCAGGUUACAGAAACGCCAUUCCAAGUUGGAUUAAGAGACUGUUAUCAAGCAAAACAAAUGUUUACAUAGAAGGUCUUUGACAGUGGUAAAAGGUUUCAUUAAGACUAAACUAUCAGCACAGGAUCGACAGCUACAGCAACGCUGAAUAAUUAUCACCAGUGUUGUGGUUUGUGUCAUAGUUUUGUUAAAGUAAGGAAUCAGUCUUUAUGUGAAGUGUCUAGGCCGCAUAUUUCAAAAUUCAGCUUUUGAGAUUUUUGUGUAACAAACACCAUAUUUUACAACACAGAUGUAUAACUUUAAGUAUUGAUCAUGAAACAUAUGUGAAUAUAUAGAAAGAGUAGUCAAAUAAAAUGACAUCAUCUAAUCCUUUUUAUUUUGGGUGUGUAAUGUGAAAAUGGCAUGUACUUAAAUAAAUGAACAUAUUCUUAAAAUAGGCAUUUUUAAUCAUAUGUCAACUAAAUAAUAAUAAUGUAUCGUUUAUUUGACCAAGGUAUAAUGUAGUUGAAAUUUCUUUUUUAUAUUUUUAUAUGCAAUUAUCUGCACUAGUCACUGUAAUAUUUGGUUUGAUGAAUUACAUGUAUCAUGAUGUAGAAAUAAAGGAUAAUUGUUUGUU
This is a long non-coding RNA of Mya arenaria, 1533 nucleotides long. RefSeq lists it as uncharacterized. The record is from RefSeq and is a predicted model, not a curated record. NCBI's taxonomy places the organism in Eukaryota, Metazoa, Mollusca, Bivalvia, Myida, Myidae. The transcript has 3 exons.